CUAUUCCGUGCAUCCACUACCCUCUCAGUAAAGUAAUACUUCCUGAUAUUAUUUUUAAACCUUUGCCCCUCUAAUUUAAGACUAUGUCCUCUUGUGGUAGUUUUUCUUCUUUUAAAUAUAGUCUCCUCCUUUACUGUGUCGAUUCCCUUUAUGUAUUUAAAUGUUUCUAUCAUAUCCCCCCUGUCUCGUCUUUCCUCCAAGCCAUACAUGUUAA
Pelobates cultripes (western spadefoot toad) is the source of this 214-nucleotide non-coding RNA. NCBI's taxonomy places the organism in Eukaryota, Metazoa, Chordata, Amphibia, Anura, Pelobatidae. The record is from the annotation of a GenBank genome assembly.